UACAGAGGGUGCAAGCGUUAAUCGGAAUUACUGGGCGUAAAGCGUGCGUAGGUGGUUGUUUAAGUCUGUUGUGAAAGCCCUGGGCUCAACCUGGGAACUGCAGUGGAAACUGGACAACUAGAGUGUGGUAGAGGGUAGCGGAAUUCCCGGUGUAGCAGUGAAAUGCGUAGAGAUCGGGAGGAACAUCCAUGGCGAAGGCAGCUACCUGGACCAACACUGACACUGAGGCACGAAAGCGUGGGGAGCAAACAGG
Molecule: ribosomal RNA, 253 nt
Filed under: uncultured bacterium
Lineage: Bacteria
Description: partial 16S ribosomal RNA
Rfam family: Bacterial small subunit ribosomal RNA
Source: RNAcentral